RNAcentral lists this ribosomal RNA (253 nucleotides) under uncultured bacterium. RNAcentral's name for it is "partial 16S ribosomal RNA". It matches the Rfam family "Bacterial small subunit ribosomal RNA", at positions 524 to 776 of the family's 1533-position model. The record is from RNAcentral.
UACGAAGGGGGCUAGCGUUGCUCGGAAUCACUGGGCGUAAAGGGUGCGUAGGCGGGGCUUUAAGUCAGGGGUGAAAUCCUGGAGCUCAACUCCAGAACUGCCUUUGAUACUGAAGAUCUUGAGUUCGGGAGAGGUGAGUGGAACUGCGAGUGUAGAGGUGAAAUUCGUAGAUAUUCGCAAGAACACCAGUGGCGAAGGCGGCUCGCUGGGACGUUACUGACGCUGAGACGCGAAAGCGUGGGGAGCAAACAGG